This 765-nucleotide ribosomal RNA is filed under the name uncultured Streptococcus sp. RNAcentral describes it as "bacterial SSU rRNA". It matches the Rfam family "Bacterial small subunit ribosomal RNA", at positions 28 to 776 of the family's 1533-position model. Lineage: Bacteria; Bacillati; Bacillota; Bacilli; Lactobacillales; Streptococcaceae. The record is from RNAcentral.
GAUGAACGCUGGCGGCGUGCCUAAUACAUGCAAGUAGAACGCUGAAGCUUGGUGCUUGCACCGAGCGGAUGAGUUGCGAACGGGUGAGUAACGCGUAGGUAACCUGCCUCUUAGCGGGGGAUAACUAUUGGAAACGAUAGCUAAUACCGCAUAAAAGACGAUAUCGCAUGAUAUUGAUUUGAAAGGUGCAAUUGCAUCACUAAGAGAUGGACCUGCGUUGUAUUAGCUAGUUGGUGAGGUAACGGCUCACCAAGGCGACGAUACAUAGCCGACCUGAGAGGGUGAUCGGCCACACUGGGACUGAGACACGGCCCAGACUCCUACGGGAGGCAGCAGUAGGGAAUCUUCGGCAAUGGGGGCAACCCUGACCGAGCAACGCCGCGUGAGUGAAGAAGGUUUUCGGAUCGUAAAGCUCUGUUGUAAGAGAAGAACGAGUGUGAGAGUGGAAAGUUCACACUGUGACGGUAACUUACCAGAAAGGGACGGCUAACUACGUGCCAGCAGCCGCGGUAAUACGUAGGUCCCGAGCGUUAUCCGGAUUUAUUGGGCGUAAAGCGAGCGCAGGCGGCUAGAUAAGUCUGAAGUUAAAGGCUGUGGCUUAACCAUAGUACGCUUUGGAAACUGUUUAACUUGAGUGCAGAAGGGGAGAGUGGAAUUCCAUGUGUAGCGGUGAAAUGCGUAGAUAUAUGGAGGAACACCGGUGGCGAAAGCGGCUCUCUGGUCUGUAACUGACGCUGAGGCUCGAAAGCGUGGGGAGCAAACAGG